AUUUCACAUUAACAUCUAAUUUACUAGCUUAUACAUGCCAUUGAUUUCCAAAAUAAAGUUCCUUUAUGUACCGAGAUCUCGAGAUUGAUAGUGUGAUGUGUCUCCGACCAAAUCCGACCUCCGAGCUCUUAACUCUACAAACAGGGGAAAAAGAAACAGGGUAAGCACUUUGUGCUUAGUAAGUUCAUGCAACAGGAAUUAUACUUACCAUACUUAUACAUCCAUCAUUUAAUAACACAAGCACACAUUCAAUUCACAUAAACAUAUACCUAUCACAUACAAACUCAACCUCAUACAAAUUCAUUACAAAGAUAAAUGAUUGAUGAGCUCAUCAAUUCCAUGAUUUCCAUUUCCUUGUUAUUUUUCCGUAUUUAUCCCGUCGAACUACUUGGAAUUUCGAUGGAUAUUCAGGGGUACACCUAAGUGUACAAAUCCGGGUCCGUCAAUUCAUAUUCAUGUGCGCACAUUUCCAUUUCAGAGAGCACACUCCCGCGAACCUCAUCCUUACAACGGGAUUACCAGUCCAGGCUAAAUCCCAUGUAAUAUAAACUCACAGAGUAUUGUCGGGAUUACCAGUCCAGGCUAAAUCCCCNNNNNNNNNNNNNNNNNNNNNNNNNNNNNNNNNNNNNNNNNNNNNNNNNNNNNNNNNNNNNNNNNNNNNNNNNNNNNNNNNNNNNNNNNNNNNNNNNNNNNNNNNNNNNNNNNNNNNNNNNNNNNNNNNNNNNNNNNNNNNNNNNNNNNNNNNNNNNNNNNNNNNNNNNNNNNNNNNNNNNNNNNNNNNNNNNNNNNNNNNNNNNNNNNNNNNUUUAUUUUCUCUUUUCAUCAAGAAUAUCAAUACUUCAUCAAUUAUCAUACAAUAAACAUCCAAAUCAUAUUCACAUCAAUAACAAACAUUUCAAGCAUUUAAGAAUUUAAUUCAAGUCACACGAACUUACCUCGAUACUUGUUCGUAAGCAAAAAUCUACUAAUCCCGAACUUUUUCUUUUCCUCGAUCUAGAUUCGUAUUUGAAUUUUCUGGAUCUAAAUAAAUAAAUUUGAUCAUUAAUCUAAUACAUUUCAUGUUCAUAUGUAACAUUCUCUAAAAUUCCAUUAUUAUUUAUAGUGCAUUCAAAGCUGUCUUACUGAGUCACAGUCACUAAAUUAUUUAUAUCUUAAGCUACGAAACUCUAAAUUAAGAUCCGUUAAUUUUUCCUGAAACUAGACUCGCUUAUCUUCUUACCAUAAAAUUUUCAGAAUUUUUGGCCUAGCCAAUAAGUACAGUUUAUUCUUUAAAGUUUCCCCUGUUUCACUUGUUGAUAGUUCCGACCCCUCUUCACUAAAAAUUAAUUAUCUCAUUGUAAAGAAUUCGGAUGAUGUUUCCAUUUGUUUCAUAUGAAAAUAGACUAAUUAAGUAUUCUAAGCAUAUAAAUUAUAACUCAUAUUCAUUUUUGUACAAUUUUUAAUGAUUUUCCAAAGUCAGAACAGGGGAACCCGAAUUCAUUCUGACCUUGUCUCACAAAAUCUAUUAUAUCUCAUGAUUUCCAAUUCCAUUGAUUAAACCAUUUCUUCUAUGAGAAACUAGACUCAACAAGCUUCAAUUUCAUAUUUUAUUCAUCCUAUAAUUCGAUCUCUAAAAUUUUUGGUGAAUUUUUAAAGUUGGACUACUGCUGCUGUCCAAAACUGUUUUAGUGUAUGAUGUUAAUUACCAUUUUUCCCUAAACUUUCAAUAAAUGAUAAUUUCAUCCCUGCUCAAUUAACCUCUCAAUUGAGCUGGUUUUUCUCAAUUAACACUUUAUCCCAUCACUUUAAACUACUUUAUAAGCUUUGGAAAUCAAAAUUUUAGUACUAGACUUUAAUUCCAAACUUUUUCACAAUUAGGUCCUAUAAAACAAUUUCUAUUGAAAUUACCUAAUAAAAUCAUCUCAUAAAUAAGUUAAAGCUUCAAUUUCAUGCUAUUUCAUCAUAAAAUCCCAGCACAUAUAGCAACUUUCAACUUCACCCAUAAAAUCAAAAACUAAUGAAUUUAAUAAUAGGACCUAGUUGUAAAAGUCUUAGAAACACAAAAAUUACAAGAAAAAGGCAAGGAUUAACUCACUUGGGGCAAAAAUUAUCAAAAACCAGCUUGAAGAACCCCUUAGGACGUUUUUGGCUGAUGGGAAUGCAGAAAAAUAAAGAGGAAUCUAGAUAAUUCCACUUUAGUCCUACCUUUUAAAGCAAAUUUUGCAAUAUUCCAAUUUUACCCUUAAUUCUUCAAUUCUACUAUUUUUCUCAGCGUAUGCCGCCCAAAAUAUCUUCUUUUGGGGUUAUUUGUAAUUUAUGUCCCUCCACAUUUAACAAUUGAGCUAUUUAAUCCUUCUAGUAACUUUUACACCUUUUUCAAUUUAGUCCUUUUCACUUAAUUGACUACCCAAACAUUAAAAUUUUCUAACGAAAUUUUAAUACCAUAUUACUAACACUUCAUAAAUAUUUAUAAAAAUAUUUUUGACUCGGUUUUACGAGGUCGAAAUCUCGAUACCUUAUUUUUACCCAAUUUCUUCUAUAAUUUCUUUUUCUAACUAACCACUAAAUCGGUAAAAUUUUUCUAUCAAUAUUUUCAUACUAUUUUCCUAUCAUACCAAUAUUCAUGCAAAAAUAUUAAAAUAAAUUUCUCUUUAAAUCGGAUUUGUGGUUACGAAACCACUAUUCUGAUAACCUUGAAUUUGGGCCAUUACAGACGUGGUGGUGGCUAAUGAUGAAAGAGAUGUCAAAUGGCGAUUUACCGGUUUUUAUGGAACACCAUAUGCGCAAGAUAGAGAAGAUUCAUGGGCGGGCAGUCUUGAAAAAUCUCCACGAGGAUGAAGAUAUUCCUUGAUUUGUAUGUGGAGACUUCAAUGAAAUUAUGUAUGGUUUUGAAAAAAAGGGAGGCUUGCUUAGAGAUGAAAGAAGAAUGGAGAUGUUCCGUGAAGCUUUAGAAUUUUACCAUUUGACUGAUAUGGGAUAUUCUGGCAAAUGUUUACUUGGGAGAGAGGUAAUUUACUAGAAACAAACAUACAAAAACGUCUGGACAAGGGUGUUGCAAAUGAGAAUUGGAUUUCUAUGUUUCCUGAGGUAAAAGUUCAGCAUCUGGUGCACUCUUUUUCUGAUCAUUGUCUCUUUUUAAUUAACACAAAUAAGGAAGAUGAACGGAGGUCAGUAAGUCAUUCCAAAUUUGAAGCCUGGUGGGUUUUGAAUGACUCCUUCGUUGACGAAGCUAAACACAUAUGGAGGCUGGCAUCCGGAGAUUUUCUGAAGAAAUUGGAAAUUUUAAAAAAAGGCCUAGAAAAUUGGGCGAGACAAGCACAAAAAAUAGAUAGGGGAAAAAUGAAUUUUUGACAGCAAAGUUAUCAAAACUGAUUGAAGCCGAAAUGGAUGAUAUCAGCUUGGCUGAGAUGAUUGAUACGAAGAUUCAGCUAAACUUUGAAAUCGAAAAAGAUGAAAGAUACUGGGAACAAAGGGCUGACUGAACUGGAUGAAACUAAGUGAUAGAAAUAUAGCUUUUUUCCAUAGCCAAGCAAAGCAGAGAAUGAGGAAGAAUAUGAUAAACAAACUACAAAACAAUAGCGGAUGGGAAACGAACGACCUUUACGAAAUGGAAAGUAUUGCACAAUCCUAUUUUCAGAAUUUAUUCACUUUAGGGAAUCAAGAGAACUAUGAUCAUUUGCUUUCAGGAAUUGAUCAGUGUGUUUCUGAGGAAGAUAACAGAAAGCUUACAGAGCAAUAUAUAAAAGAAGAGGUUAGAGAGGCAUUGCUUGAAAUGCAACCCACGAAGGCACCUAGCGAAGAUAGGUUUCCUGCUCUUUUUUAUCAGAAAUGUUGGCACUUUAUUGGAUAGGAGGUUGUUGCUUUUUGUUUACACCUCUUGAAUGGAGAAAUGGAUGUCAGUUCAAUUAAUUCAACACAUAUUGUUCUUAUCCCAAAAAUUAUUAAUCCUUCUAAUAUGACACAUUUUAGGCCUAUUAGUUUAUGCAAUGUUAUUUAUAAAAUCAUGGCUAAAGCUAUAGCAAACAGAUUUAGAGGUGUUAUUGAUAAAUGCAUUGACAGCGCGCAAAGUGCCUUUGUGCCAGGAAGAUUAAUCUCAGAUAAUGUACUGCUAGCCUAUGAAUUAUUCCAUACACUUAAACAGAAGAGAAUGGGAAGAAGGGUUAUAUAGCAGUUAAACUGGACAUGAGUAAAGCUUAUGACAAGGUCGAAUGGAGAUUUAUCAAGGAGAUAAUGUUGCGGAUGAGUUUUGCUCAAAAAUGGGUUGUUUCUAUUAUGAACUGCAUGUCUACUGUUUCUUAUCAAGUUGUGCUCAACGAAAGUAUCGGAGAAACUUUUCGUCCAAUAAGGGGGAUUCGAUAAGGUGACCCAUUGAGUUCGGUUCUUUUUUUAAUAUGUGGAGAGGGAUUAUCUAGCCUCAUGAGAAUAGCUACAAAAGAAGGAAUAUUAAAAGGAGUCAAGGCAAGCAAAAACGAUCCACAGGUAACACAUUUACUAUUCGCAGAUGACUGCAUCUUAUUCAGAGAAGCAUCAAGAAAAGGAGCUUUAACAUUUAAUGAGAUCCUAAGUGAGUAUAAAUGAUGUUCGGGUCACUGUGUGAAUUUCGGUAAAUCAACUGUUUUCUUUAGUAAAAACACGCUAGAGGAAGAAAGAUAAUUAGUUGUCAAUUUGUUGGGAGUUCGGAGUUCAAAUGAGCUAAAACGAUAUCUAGGUUUGCCAAACAUGGUUGGUCGAAAAAAGAAACAAUCUUUUCAAGCUUUAAAAGAUAGAUUGAAACAGUGUAUUAAAAAUUAGAGUAUUCGAUUUUUAUCGCAAUGUGGAAAAAAUGUAUUUAUAAAGGCUGUCCUACAAGUCAUACCGACAUAUUCAAUGGCUUGCUUUUUACUCCCAAAGCCUCUAUGUGAAGAAAUGGAGGGUAUUGUUGCAAAAUAUUGGUGGCAAAAGGGUCGUGGAAAAGGGGGUAUUCACUGGUGUUCUUGGAAAAACCUUUGCUUUUUGAAAGAAAACGGGGGGAUGGGUUUUCAAAAUCUUAGCCAGUUUAAUAUUGUGUUGUUAGCCAAACAGGGUUGGUGAUUGAUUAUCCAAAUUCUCCUUUAGCCAGAGUUCUUAAAGCCAAAUAUUAUCCACGUUCUAGUUUUCUAAAUGCAUAGUUGGAAAACUUACUAUCUCUUACCUGAAGGAGCAUUUGGGCAGCGAAAGGACUCCUUCUUAAAGGACUAAACUGGAGAGUUGGGAGAGGAAAUGCAAUAUCUAUUUGGACUGACCGAUGGAUACCAGGGAUUGAACCUGAGACAUGGCAUAACAGAGGAGGCAAUGGUGAGUUAUAUUUAGUAUCAGACCUAGUUGACAGCACAACUAAGAUGUGGAAAACGGAGACAAUUACAACUACCUUCCAAAUAGAUACCACUCAAAAAAUAUUACAGAUUCCUCUUGCGAGAACAGAUUGUGAGGACAUGCAAGUGUGGAAAGGUGAACACUCUGGCGAGUUUUCAGUUCGAAGCGCCUACAAACUAUUACAAGAGGCUAGCUUGGAUCCUAACAAUUAUUUAUUACAGGCCGAAACUAAAGAAUUCUACAAGAAAUUAUGGAAUUUACAACUACCAUAAAAAAAUUUAAUACUUAUAUGGCAGAUUUCCUGGAACUAUAUCUCUUCACUAGCUAAUCUUAGAUACAAAAGAGUGAUCACAAAUGCUAGUUGUCUCCGAUGCUACUCUGAAGAAGAAGACAACUACCACGUGUUUCGGCAAUGUCCUACAAGCAUUGAUGUAUAGAUUAGUCUUAAUAUGAUGUGGUUAACAGAAUAUGCAAAUCAAAAUGUAUGGACAUGGCUCACCUGGGUCUUUGGCAAGGGUACAAAGGAGCAGAUCCGAUUAUUCUGCUGCGCCUUAUGGGUUAUUUGGGGCUCGCGGAAUCAGAUGGUCCAUGAGAGGAAAUUCACAUCAAGAAGGGAUCUCUCCCAUAAAAUACAGAGCUAAUUAAUGGAACUUGAAGGAGUGCGAGGAAAAAAGCUUACCCUUACGCGCAUUAGAACUCAAGGACAAGACAGAGAGACAAUAAGGGAGACGAUACAGUUCAAUGCAGCCUUUGAUACCAGUAAUUUCAGAUCGGCGUCAGGAAUAGUAGAUCGGGAUCAGAAUGGUGUGAUUAAAGUUUCAAAGUCGACUCUUCAUUCCAACGUUUCAUGUCCGUUUGUUGCAUAAGCAUAUGCAUGUUUAAAGGCAACCAAGUUAGGCAUCAACAUGGGUUUAGACUCAGUUACGAUUAUGGGGGAUUCGAAAACAGUUAUCAACAAAUGCCAAACGACAUUUAGGGAUAAAUCGAUCAUUAGAGCGAUUAUUAAAGAUAUCCAGAGCAACAAAUCUCGCUUUCAUGAAAUUGUUUUUAUGUUCAUCCAAAGAACAGAGAAUCUUCAAGCUCAUAAUCUAGCAAAAGACACGUUAAAAAAAAGGGGGAGAGAUGUACCUGGUGAGGGAGACGCUGAACGAAACUGCUCCAGAAGUAAGAUGGCCACAAAAUCCAAACUGAAGAGAGUUGUUGAAGGCGAAAUGAAACAGCAAAGAUAGAAAAUAAAGAAAAUUUCAUGGAAGUUGCUAUCCUCUGAACAGACCUGACGUUUUUGAAAUGAAGAGUUGGAAAUAGUAAUGGCGUUUAGGCUGUUUUGAUUUGACUGGAAAAUGACUGUCGGUUCUUUU
This 6668-nucleotide long non-coding RNA is filed under the name Gossypium raimondii (Peruvian cotton). RNAcentral's name for it is "long non-coding RNA (GRAI_LNC001684)". Lineage: Eukaryota; Viridiplantae; Streptophyta; Magnoliopsida; Malvales; Malvaceae. The record is from RNAcentral.